UUGGGCGAGAGUAGUACUGGCUUGGGUGACCCGCUGGGAAGUCCUCGUGUUGCACCCCUU
Molecule: ribosomal RNA, 60 nt
Filed under: Chrysanthemum zawadzkii subsp. latilobum
Lineage: Eukaryota; Viridiplantae; Streptophyta; Magnoliopsida; Asterales; Asteraceae
Source: RNAcentral